RNAcentral lists this long non-coding RNA (1194 nucleotides) under Monodelphis domestica (gray short-tailed opossum). Its description in RNAcentral is "lncRNA (ENSMODG00000035648.2)". Lineage: Eukaryota; Metazoa; Chordata; Mammalia; Didelphimorphia; Didelphidae. The record is from RNAcentral.
GGAGGAGGGUUCCCAGGGUCUGUGCUGUUGAUCGUUUUGAAUUUCGGCACCUUAGGAGCUUCUAGUUUGAGAUCGGUCGGGAAGGGUUUUCCGGAGAUCUGAACUUCAGCUUUCUCUAAGCCGCCAUCUUAACCGGAAGUCCGAUAUGGUCAAUUAUGUGGAUGGUUUUCCUGAUAUUGAACCAGCCCUGCAUUCCUGAUAUAAAUCCCACCUGUUUAUAGUGAAUAACCCUCCUGAUGACCUGCUGGAGUCUUUUUGCUAGUAUUCUAUUUAAGAUUUUUGCAUCUAUAUUCAUUAGGGAGAUUGGUCUAUAGUUUUUUUGACCUGCUUGACUUUGUAAUCAGUACCAUAGUUGUGUCAUAAAAGGAAUUUGGUAGCACUCCCUCUUUGCUUAUUAUGUCAAAUAGUGUGUAUAGUAUUGGGGUUAGCUGUUCUUUGGAUAUUUGAUAGAAUUCACUUGUGAAUCCAUCAGGCCCUGGGGAUUUUUUCUUAGGGAGUUCUUUGAUGGCCUGUUUAAUUUCUUUUUCUGAUAUGGAUUUAACAAUUCCAUUUCUUCUUCUGUUAAUCUAGGCAGUUUAUAUUUUUGUACAUAUUCAUUCAUGUCACCUAGAUUGCCAUAUUUAUAGCCAUAUAAUUGGGCGAAAUAAUUUUUAAUGAUUGCCGUAAUUUCCUCUUCAUUGGAGCUAAGUAAAGUUUUCAGAGACACUGUGCUUAAAGGAACGUUCAAUGCUACCCUAAGGAAUCCUUUAUUGACUCGGGUGGAAAAUGAAUGUAAGGACCACACGAUCAAAAUACAAUUCCAACCGGGGAGCAAACCUGCUUUUUAAAAUGGUACUAGAGAAUUUACUCUAGAACAGAGAACCUUGCUGCAUGUGGGAAAUUCAAUUUAUUGGUUAUUAUAAAUCCAUAUUGAAGAGAAAUAUUCUUGAUGGAUCCUCUGAUUUAAUUCAGAAGGACAUCCUCGAAAGACAACCUAAUUUUUUCUGCCAUGGUGAGACCAUGGAAGUAGCACGGAUACCUAUUUCCGACUGUUCUAACAUAUAUCAAUUGAUGCUUCGUUCCAAAUUUAACAAUAAAUAAAAAAUAUUUGAUUGAAUGUUUUCUUUUUCUCCAAGUGUCUCAUCUUAUAACCAUAGAAUACAAUGAUAUAUAUAUAUAUAUAUAUAUAUAUAGAAUACAAUUAUAUGCCAAGAG